Amphimedon queenslandica is the source of this 305-nucleotide long non-coding RNA. RefSeq lists it as uncharacterized. The transcript has 2 exons. The record is from RefSeq and is a predicted model, not a curated record. NCBI's taxonomy places the organism in Eukaryota, Metazoa, Porifera, Demospongiae, Haplosclerida, Niphatidae.
CCUCCUCCUCUUAGUUCUAUCAAAGGAUGUGGUAUCUUGUGAGGCCAGUCAUUCCCUGGCAGUGUGUGUCUUACUGGGUGUCUGGUUUAUGACUAUUGAGCUAUUGGGACGGGUCUAUCCUGAGUCAGUUGGUAAACUCAAGCACUCAAUAUUCAGCCAGUUGCAAGAUGUGUCUUGAUUGGGAGGAGACUAGGCUUUGAUGAACUAAGGACUUUAGUAGUGGACGGUUAUCUUUAUUAUUAUUAUUAUUAAUUUUUUAGAAUGCCCUUUUGUUAAAAAUAGCUAGCCUAUGCAAACAAAUGGAA